This 339-nucleotide ribosomal RNA is filed under the name uncultured bacterium. RNAcentral describes it as "bacterial SSU rRNA". It matches the Rfam family "Bacterial small subunit ribosomal RNA", at positions 455 to 793 of the family's 1533-position model. The record is from RNAcentral.
AAUAGCAUACUCAUUUGACGUUAGCUGCAGAGAACGCACCGGCUAACUCCGUGCCAGCAGCCGCGGUAAUACGGAGGGUGCGAGCGUUAAUCGGAAUUACUGGGCGUAAAGCGCAUGCAGGUGGUUGUUAAGUCAGAUGUGAAAGCCCGGGGCUCAACCUCGGAAUUGCAUUUGAAACUGGCAAACUAGAGUACUGUAGAGGGGGUAGAAGUUUCAGGUGUAGCGGUGAAAUGCGUAGAGAUCUGAAGGAAUACCGGUGGCGAAGGCGGCCCCCUGGACAGAUACUGACACUCAGAUGCGAAAGCGUGGGGAGCAAACAGGAUUAGAUACCAUCGGUAG